This is an RNA transcript of Nicotiana attenuata, 2573 nucleotides long. It is a transcript of the gene named BAG-associated GRAM protein 1-like, with no coding region annotated. The record is from RefSeq and is a predicted model, not a curated record. NCBI's taxonomy places the organism in Eukaryota, Viridiplantae, Streptophyta, Magnoliopsida, Solanales, Solanaceae. The transcript is spliced from 19 exons.
AGUCGUUAAGAAGUUUCCAAAGUUCCAUAAUACCCCUAAAUUCUGUCUAUUAUUCCGCUAAGCCUUCCUCUAAACACCAGUAUCAUCACCCAAAAAGCAAAAGGGCUAAAUCCGUCAUUUCAUUUCUGUCUAUUUAAUCACGCUUCUACGCUCCCUCCCUUUUUUCGUUCCUUUUUGUGUCUCUCUCACACAAACACACACUUUACUCUGUUUAUGCACACACAUAAAAGAUGUUUCUGUUUCUGCCCAAAAUAACUUCAAUUAUUCAAUGGUGCUUUUGGAAUUUGGAGCACUCUAUGUGAUAGCUACACGCCUAUAGUAAGGAAUUUUCGUUCCAUCAACUUUUGUCCCGUUUACUAUUUGCGCAGUUUUUUGUGCAAUUAUGGAGUCGGUGUUGGAGUUUCUCUUGCCAUCAUGGUGGGAGGUGCAAGUCACCGUCUUCGCGGCGGCCUUCAUUGUUCUCUCUUGCUGGUUCUUCACCCUCGACGGAGAUGACAUAGUUGAUUAUCGCACUCGGGUUGACGGUUCUGGUAUUGUCAGUAGCGUCACUAAAGUGGAGGAUGAUCCAGCAUAUAGAAUGUGCCAGUUAAAAAGGGAUGCUCAAACUAAUUCUGCAUAUGUAAUCAAGGUUGAAUUGUUGGCUGCUAAAAAUCUUAUUGCUGCUAAUUUGAAUGGGACUUCAGAUCCAUAUGCAAUCAUCACUUGUGGGAAACAAAAGAGAUUUAGUUCAAUGGUUCCUGGUUCAAGAAAUCCUAUGUGGGGGGAGGAGUUCAACUUCUCUGUUGAUGAGCUUCCAGUAGAGAUUAAUGUGACAAUAUAUGAUUGGGAUAUAAUUUGGAAAAGUGCUGUUCUUGGUUCAGUGACUGUAGCUGUUGAAAAUGAAGGUCAAACUGGUGCAGAAUGGCAUACAUUAGACAGUUCAUCUGGGCAGGUUUAUCUUCAUAUUAAAACUUUAAAGCACAAUGUCAAUUUUUCAAGAGGUUUGAACGGCUAUGCUAAUACUCGUAGACGUAUUGCUUUGGAUAAAGAAGGACCAACUGUUGUUCAUCAGAAACCUGGGCCGCUGCAAACAAUAUUUGAUCUCCCUGCUGAUGAGGUUGUUGAACAUAGUUAUUCAUGUGCUCUAGAAAGGUCAUUCUUGUAUCAUGGCCGUAUGUAUGUUUCGACAUGGCAUAUCUGCUUCCACUCAAACGUAUUCUCAAAGCAAAUGAAGGUAAUUAUUCCUUUAGCGGAAAUAGAUGAGAUAAGGAGGAGCCAGCAUGCAUUUGUUAAUCCUGCUAUUACAGUAAUUCUCCGCAUGGGUGCUGGCGGCCAUGGGGUGCCUCCGUUAGGAAAUCCGGAUGGUAGAGUAAGAUAUAAAUUCGCAUCUUUUUGGAAUAGGAAUCAUGCGUUAAGAGCCUUGCAACGUUCAGCAGAUAACUAUCAUGAAAUGCUAGAAGCUGAGAAGAAGGAGAUGGAACAGUCGGCACUGCGUGCACAUAGCAGCUCGGUUAAAGGAUGUAAAAAGAUGGAAUUAAAUCAGGAAGAAAGUGUGACCAAGAUUCAGAAAUGUCAACCAUUUAUUAAAGAAGAAGUCCUCUCUGGUAUAUAUGAUGAUGUUUUGCCAUGCACAGCCGAGCAAUUUUUUGACUUGCUAUUGGCUGAUGGUUCAAAUUUCACUAAUGAAUACCGUGCAGCAGGGAAAGAUUUCAAUCUCAAUAUGGGUGAAUGGAAUUCUGCUGAUGAAUAUGAUGGUCAAGUCAGAGAAAUUACUUUCAGAACCAUAUGUAAUAGCCCUAUGUGCCCUCCAGAUACAGCCGUGACAGAGUAUCAACAUGCUGUUUUAUCGCUGGAUAAAAAAGCUCUUGUAUUUGAGACUGUUCAACAGGCCCAUGAUGUGCCGUUUGGGUCAUGCUUUGAGGUACACUGUAGGUGGUCGUUAGAAACAACUUCUGAAUCAUCCUGCACUUUGGACAUAAAGGCCGUUGCAUUGAAAAAGCAGUUUUGGCGGGGCGGGGGGCGCCUCUUUGGCUAUGAAAGAUUCUUGCAUUAAAAAGAGAGCCAGAAUGUUGUUUCUAAAUGGCUCAAGUAGUGGUUUAUCACCAGGAAUAUGUCUACAAUUUAAGUAGUUGAACUAGCCUACCACUUAAAACGUAUAUUUAGGGUAUCUUCUAACUUAUCAUUUUGCUUAUCAUCUAUUAUGCUUUUGGGCAAAUCAUCUGCCUAUCACUCUAAUUUACAUUCUCACUAGACUCUUACAGAGAAUUGAUACCCUUGUCAUUCAUCACACUUGGAUUUAAUUAGAUAGGAAGCUGUUUUCCUGGUGCAAUGAUGAGUUCAGCGCUUAUGAGUGCUUUCACAGAUGUUGUGCUUGACCAAGUUUCACCUUCCAAGCUUGUUUGAUCUGACUUGCUGUUGGAUUCUCUCUUUGAAACCCUAGAGAUAUCAUAUUUAUGUUUUCGUUCGGACGGCUAAAUACUGAAUCUCUAGCACGUGACACUGUUAUUUUUCUGGUGCACAUUUCAAGAAGUGGUGCAUUAUGCAGUCUAAAAUUAAGUCAGGAGCUAUUAACGAGUACAAGAAAGAGAUGGCAA